This 398-nucleotide transfer-messenger RNA is filed under the name Patescibacteria group bacterium. It matches the Rfam family "transfer-messenger RNA". Rfam says of the family: Bacterial tmRNA, also known as 10Sa RNA or SsrA, is named for its dual tRNA and mRNA-like properties. Its role is to liberate the mRNA from a stalled ribosome. To accomplish this part of the tmRNA is used as a reading frame that ends in a translation stop signal. The record is from RNAcentral.
GGGGAUGAUCAGCUUCGACGGUCCUUACAUCCGCAGACGCAGGCCGAGCCGGGACACCUCGUAAAACCGUCCCAUGCAAGACAACUGCCAACGUCUUGAACAAGGUACAGAACACGUUCGCUUCGGCGUUCCGUGUCUCCGCACCUGCAAUGGCGCUCGCGUAAGCGAUCGUCACGAUCCCCCGCUUCGCGGCCCGACCUUGCGGAUCGGAUCGUCAUCGUUCGGGCUCGAGUCCGGUGCGCUCAUAUCCCGCGCCGGCUGACAGGCUGGAUAUGUAGGCACGGGGUUCUCGUCCGCUCGUCCACCCCGCGCCGAGAUCCCAGCAGCGGACCAAGCCUGUGAAGACCCUGCGGCUCGUGACGGAUCGGACGGGGGUGCGAUUCCCCCCAUCUCCACCA